This 436-nucleotide ribosomal RNA is filed under the name uncultured bacterium. RNAcentral describes it as "bacterial SSU rRNA". It matches the Rfam family "Bacterial small subunit ribosomal RNA", at positions 8 to 413 of the family's 1533-position model. The record is from RNAcentral.
AGAGUUUGAUCCUGGCUCAGGACGAACGCUGGCGGCGUGCUUAACACAUGCAAGUCGAGCGGAAAGGCCCUUCGGGGUACUCGAGCGGCGAACGGGUGAGUAACACGUGAGCAACCUGCCCCUAGCUCUGGGAUAGCUCCGGGAAACCGGGAUUAAUACCAGAUACGACCACUUUAGAACAUCUGCCGUGGUGGAAAAAGGAUUCCGGCUAGGGAUGGGCUCGCGGCCUAUCAGCUUGUUGGUGGGGUAUACGGCCUACCCAGGGCCAACCAACCGGUUAACCGGGCCUGAAGAAGGGGCGAACCGGGCCACCACCUGGGGGAACUGGAGAACACGGGGCCCCAGAAACUUCCUAACGGGGGAGGGCAGCCAGUUGGGGGGAAUAUUGGCGCAAUGGGNGAAAGCCUGACGCAGCGACGCCGCGUGAGGGAUGAAG